AGAGUUUGAUCCUGGCUCAGAACUAACGCUGGUGGCGUGUCUUAGUCAUGCAAGUCGAACGCGAAAGCACCCCUCGGGGUGCGAGUAGAGUGGCGAACGGGUGAGUAACACGUGGGUAACCUACCUCUGAGUGGGGGACAACCCUUCUAACGAGGGGCUAAUACCGCAUAAGGCAGUGUUUCUUAAUGAGAUGCUAUGAAAGGUGGCCUCUGCUUGCAUGCUGCCGCUUGGAGAGGGGCCCGCGGUCCAUUAGCUUGUUGGUGAGGUAAUGGCUCACCAAGGCGAAGAUGGAUAGCCGGCCUGAGAGGGUGAUCGGCCACACUGGAACUGAGACAAGGUCCAGUCCCCUACGGGGGCCAGCAGUCUAGAAAUUUGGGCAAUGGGCGAAAGCCUGACCCAGCGACGCCACGUGGAGGAUGAAGCCCCUAGGGGUGUAAACUCCUGUCAGGGGGGAAGAAAGUGGUGGGGUCAAUACCCCUGCCAUCUGACGGUACCUCCAGAGGAAGCUCCGGCUAACUCUGUGCCAGCAGCCGCGGUAAUACAGAGGGAGCAAGCGUUGUUCGGAUUUACUGGGCGUAAAGGGCGCGCAGGCGGGUCGAUUCGUCGAACGUGAAAACUGUCGGCUCAACCCACAGAUUGCGUUCGAAACUGUCGGCCUUGAGUUCAGGANAGGAAAGCGGAAU
Molecule: ribosomal RNA, 683 nt
Filed under: uncultured bacterium
Lineage: Bacteria
Description: SSU rRNA
Rfam family: Bacterial small subunit ribosomal RNA
Source: RNAcentral